AAACAGCUCCCUAUGUAUUGGAGUUUUGGCCUCCAAAGGCACUUUUGACUUAGUCUUCGCUGAUGUGUCACCCACAAUGGUCGUCACGUGGCACCUCACUUAAGGGAUGUGGGUGCCACGUCAGCGAAAACUAAAUCAAAAGUGGUCUUGGGGGCCAAAACUGCCAAUGAUCUAAUACAUAUGGGUUGUUU
Medicago truncatula (barrel medic) is the source of this 191-nucleotide microRNA precursor. It matches the Rfam family "MIR2619 microRNA precursor family". The record is from Rfam. Lineage: Eukaryota; Viridiplantae; Streptophyta; Magnoliopsida; Fabales; Fabaceae.